This is a long non-coding RNA of Rhineura floridana, 478 nucleotides long. RefSeq lists it as uncharacterized. The transcript has 3 exons. Lineage: Eukaryota; Metazoa; Chordata; Lepidosauria; Squamata; Rhineuridae. The record is from RefSeq and is a predicted model, not a curated record.
UAGAAAAUCUCAUUGCAGUGCCAGAAAAUGGUGGUCCCCCCUCGUUUAUCUGAAAAUCUCAUAAAUUGGAUUCUGGUGCCAAAAUAAAUGAAUACUGUUUAAUACUAACACUGGAUUUGAAUCUUCUUUUCUUCAGUGAAGUUUGAAAAUAAAUACUUUCUUUAAAAAAAUGAUAACCAUGGACCUCCUGAUCAACAUCUUGCUUGGACCAUCACCUUCCUUUAGUGGAGGACGUCACUAUGGAUCGGGAUCCCCCUCCACCCACUGCUGGUCUUUUCCUAAAGUGUCUAGCCUCCCCUGACAAUGGAUGCUUUUCUUUUAAAAUUCCUAUUUGGAAAAAGAAGCACACAACUAUAAGUAAUGUUUGGCCUGCAGCAGAAGUCAUCAAUCAUUGACUUUAAAAAGAAUUGGCAUUUCAGAAAUAGGUCAAACAGGGAGCAUAAUCGUGGGAACGUCUGCUGCACAAGUUCUACUGAAA